Molecule: long non-coding RNA, 712 nt
Filed under: Phasianus colchicus (ring-necked pheasant)
Lineage: Eukaryota; Metazoa; Chordata; Aves; Galliformes; Phasianidae
Description: lncRNA (ENSPCLG00000015230.1)
Source: RNAcentral
CAAACUUUACAAGACACCACUAACUGCGUCCUUUUGUUUUAAAUUCCUGGUAUCCCUGCACACUGCUAGCAGGCUGUGCUGAGCACACAGGUGUUCCUGCUUAGUAUGCCUACCUGCUGCUCUCCUGGCAGGCAGUGAAAAAGGGGAGGGCAGGGGACAGGUGGGUUAUAUGGAUAUGAUCAGCCAGAGGGGAAGUAGCUCUGGGUGCUCGUAGUUACAGUAGCAACCUUCUUGCAUCUGAGCUGAAGAACAGUCCUUUAAGUGGGAUGGAAGAAAAGAACCCUACAUGCACUUUGUGAUGGAUCUGUCUUUCUCUGCUGCAGCCUUCUGUAAAAGCAUUUCUAAGCUUGAUACGUCCUGUGCCUGGAUCCUGUCACCUGCAGCAGCCAUGAGUUCACAAUGCAGCCUGAUGGCUGGGCACCUUUGCCAUGCUUCUGAGGGGAAGAAGGGAGAAGAGCUUGUUGUGUUCUGCAGAUCCAAGUGUGGUAGAACCUCAGCAGGGUAGGUCCUGCCUGCUCCUCAUGAAGCUCAGCAGUUGUGUCCCUGGGCAGGCAGUGUGCCAGCAGUGGUUUCCUGGAUACAUGACUGUGUCUGCUGGAGUGGGAGCAAUCACUGCAGCUCAUUAUAGGGAGGAUGAAUAAGAGUAACUGUGCUGAUUUCAUUGUUUCCUUAGUGAGAAGGCACCUAAUAAACAGCAGCACAAGUACCUUCA